This 429-nucleotide ribosomal RNA is filed under the name Actinomycetes bacterium. RNAcentral's name for it is "Actinobacteria bacterium partial 16S ribosomal RNA". It matches the Rfam family "Bacterial small subunit ribosomal RNA", at positions 355 to 776 of the family's 1533-position model. The record is from RNAcentral. Lineage: Bacteria; Bacillati; Actinomycetota; Actinomycetes.
UAGGGAAUCUUCCGCAAUGGGCGAAAGCUUGACGGAGCAACGCCGCGUGAGUGAUGAAGGUCUUCGGAUCGUAAAACUCUGUUAUUAGGGAAGAACAAAUGUGUAAGUAACUAUGCACGUCUUGACGGUACCUAAUCAGAAAGCCACGGCUAACUACGUGCCAGCAGCCGCGGUAAUACGUAGGUGGCAAGCGUUAUCCGGAAUUAUUGGGCGUAAAGCGCGCGUAGGCGGUUUUUUAAGUCUGAUGUGAAAGCCCACGGCUCAACCGUGGAGGGUCAUUGGAAACUGGAAAACUUUAGUGCAGAAGAGGAAAGUGGAAUUCCAUGUGUAGCGGUGAAAUGCGCAGAGAUAUGGAGGAACACCAGUGGCGAAGGCGACUUUCUGGUCUGUAACUGACGCUGAUGUGCGAAAGCGUGGGGAUCAAACAGG